ACUGGGAUAACUCCGGGAAACCGGGGCUAAUACCGGAUAACAUUUUGAACCGCAUGGUUCGAAAUUGAAAGGCGGCUUCGGCUGUCACUUAUGGAUGGACCCGCGUCGCAUUAGCUAGUUGGUGAGGUAACGGCUCACCAAGGCAACGAUGCGUAGCCGACCUGAGAGGGUGAUCGGCCACACUGGGACUGAGACACGGCCCAGACUCAUACGGGAGGCAGCAGUAGGGAAUCUUCCGCAAUGGACGAAAGUCUGACGGAGCAACGCCGCGUGAGUGAUGAAGGCUUUCGGGUCGUAAAACUCUGUUGUUAGGGAAGAACAAGUGCUAGUUGAAUAAGCUGGCACCUUGACGGUACCUAACCAGAAAGCCACGGCUAACUACGUGCCAGCAGCCGCGGUAAUACGUAGGUGGCAAGCGUUAUCCGGAAUUAUUGGGCGUAAAGCGCGCGCAGGUGGUUUCUUAAGUCUGAUGUGAAAGCCCACGGCUCAACCGUGGAGGGUCAUUGGAAACUGGGAGACUUGAGUGCAGAAGAGGAAAGUGGAAUUCCAUGUGUAGCGGUGAAAUG
RNAcentral lists this ribosomal RNA (566 nucleotides) under Bacillus cereus. Its description in RNAcentral is "bacterial SSU rRNA". It matches the Rfam family "Bacterial small subunit ribosomal RNA", at positions 137 to 688 of the family's 1533-position model. The record is from RNAcentral. Lineage: Bacteria; Bacillati; Bacillota; Bacilli; Caryophanales; Bacillaceae.